AGCUCUCAGCCUGGUUCUCAUGUUGACCCUGGAAGGUUCACCCACCUCUGUUGGGUGGAGAUGGCGUCCUGGGAGCCUAGAAGACUGUCCAGGCACAGAGCAAGGGCAGCUGUCUUUCCAGAGCAGGGCUGGAAUGUAGAAGUGGACUUUUGGCCACGUGGAUGAGGAAUUGAAGCAGUCAGUUCUGAUCUAGAGAUGGAAGGCGCCUGCUGAGGACAGCAGGGCUGCUUGGCACCCUGGGUCCCUGAAUGGCUCUGUGGAGCACUGCCUGAUGGCCCACCCUGGACUGUUGCCUGAGACAGAAAUAAACUUUUAUCUUGUUUCAA
Homo sapiens (human) is the source of this 326-nucleotide long non-coding RNA. The record is from Ensembl. Lineage: Eukaryota; Metazoa; Chordata; Mammalia; Primates; Hominidae.